RNAcentral lists this long non-coding RNA (561 nucleotides) under Equus asinus (donkey). RNAcentral's name for it is "lncRNA (ENSEASG00005034064.1)". The record is from RNAcentral. Lineage: Eukaryota; Metazoa; Chordata; Mammalia; Perissodactyla; Equidae.
CGGAGGCGCCCAUUGUCCCGCCGGGGACCGCGCUCGAGUGGACAAUAGCGCAUCACGCCAAGAUUUCUAUCAUCCGCUAUUCCUGAGUGCUGCCAUUUGUGAUUUGAGAGCUCUAAGAUGGUCCUCCAAGUAGCUUCAGUCAAGUCUGAGAAGCAGAUGAUAUCCAACCCAUGGCAAACCUACCUAGAGCUGUGCCGUCCAACGUGGUAUCCGCUAGGCACAUGCGGCUAUUGAGUGCUUGAAACGUGGCUGGUCCAAAUUGAGGUUUGCUGAUUGAUAUUCAAGCUGUGAAAAACAUUCUUCCUUGAACAGAAUCUGGCACAAUAGCAGGCUCUUCAAAUAGCAGGGCUGGCAUCUUUAAAAUUCACUCGGAUUUGUUCAGUGGUUUGCAGCUGAGAAGCAAGACGGGCUGACUUUCCACUGUGUGAAUUUUAAAAACGCUCAGAGGCAAGCGUCUCCUUAAGGAUUAUGCUAUUCUGUGGGCCAUGUAAUCAGUACAUUAUCCAAAUAUAUGGUCUUCUGAUUAUUAUAGUAAUCUAAAAACGGCUAAUUAUAUAAUAG